AGCGAACGCUGGCGGCAGGCUUAACACAUGCCAGUCGAGCGGGCAUCCUUGUGGUGUCAGCGGCAGACGGGUGAGUAACGCGUGGGAACGUGCCCUUCGGUUCGGAAUAACUCAGGGAAACUUGAGCUAAUACCGGAUACGCCCUUUUGGGGAAAGGUUUACUGCCGAAGGAUCGGCCCGCGUCUGAUUAGCUAGUUGGUGAGGUUAUGGCUCACCAAGGCGACGAUCAGUAGCUGGUCUGAGAGGAUGAUCAGCCACACUGGGACUGAGACACGGCCCAGACUCCUACGGGAGGCAGCAGUGGGGAAUAUUGGACAAUGGGGGCAACCCUGAUCCAGCCAUGCCGCGUGAGUGAUGACGGCCUUAGGGUUGUAAAGCUCUUUUCGCCGGGACGAUAAUGACGGUACCGGAGGAAUAAGCCCCGGCUAACUUCGUG
This 436-nucleotide ribosomal RNA is filed under the name uncultured bacterium. RNAcentral's name for it is "partial 16S ribosomal RNA". It matches the Rfam family "Bacterial small subunit ribosomal RNA", at positions 29 to 507 of the family's 1533-position model. The record is from RNAcentral.